RNAcentral lists this ribosomal RNA (497 nucleotides) under uncultured bacterium. Its description in RNAcentral is "partial 16S ribosomal RNA". It matches the Rfam family "Bacterial small subunit ribosomal RNA", at positions 28 to 507 of the family's 1533-position model. The record is from RNAcentral.
GACGAACGCUGGCGGCGUGCCUAAUACAUGCAAGUUGAGCGCUGAAGGUUGGUACUUGUACCGACUGGAUGAGCAGCGAACGGGUGAGUAACGCGUGGGGAAUCUGCCUUUGAGCGGGGGACAACAUUUGGAAACGAAUGCUAAUACCGCAUAAAAACUUUAAACACAAGUUUUAAGUUUGAAAGAUGCAAUUGCAUCACUCAAAGAUGAUCCCGCGUUGUAUUAGCUAGUUGGUGAGGUAAAGGCUCACCAAGGCGAUGAUACAUAGCCGACCUGAGAGGGUGAUCGGCCACAUUGGGACUGAGACACGGCCCAAACUCCUACGGGAGGCAGCAGUAGGGAAGCUUCGGCAAUGGACGAAAGUCUGACCGAGCAACGCCGCGUGAGUGAAGAAGGGUUUCGGAUCGGAAAACUCGGUUGGUAGAGAAGAACGUUGGUGAGAGUGGAAAGCUCAUCAAGUGACGGUAACUACCCAGAAAGGGACGGCUAACUACGUG